AAUGCUAGGCGUGGAGUUCACACAUCUAUGCAUGGUCGUCUUGCAAUAGAACUAGGGUUCAUCCCUUAUUCUGGCCCAUCAAACCAAUCCCGUUUUCCUCAAUCCUUCACGCCCUCUUCCUCCACCCCUUCUUCUUCUUUGACCCCUUCUUCUUCUUCGACCCCUUCUUCCUCAACCCCCUCCUCAUCCUUUCGUUCUGCAGUGCGGCAGGACAAUGUUCCUCCUUCUACCUCCUGUAUUAUACUAGUCUUGUCACCCGUGGCUCCAGCAGUUCAAUAUUUGUCUACUCCGACACUCUUUCCCACUUGGGGUCCCCCGUUAUAGUCCACACCUACUCCC
RNAcentral lists this long non-coding RNA (339 nucleotides) under Phaseolus vulgaris (common bean). RNAcentral describes it as "long non-coding RNA (PVUL_LNC000543)". The record is from RNAcentral. Lineage: Eukaryota; Viridiplantae; Streptophyta; Magnoliopsida; Fabales; Fabaceae.